AAUCUACAAGCUACUUUAGUUAGAGGAAAAAGAAGAGUAAGUUGCUCUUAAUGACAAGUCUUCAGUACCUUAGGGACAAUAUAUACUACUGUAUAGAUGCUAUGAUAUUUUACCUAGAGCUCACCAUGCUCUUAUUGCGAUCAUAAUUCAUUUGUGCUGUUUAUUUAGUGACAUUUGAAGUCUCCUUUGUCUUAUUAGAUGACUUGCAAGAAUCGAACCUGCAUGGGUCUGCCUCAAUCAGGAACUUGACAACUUCGUUCAUUGUUGGGCGGAGGGCUGGGUU
This 283-nucleotide unclassified non-coding RNA is filed under the name Hevea brasiliensis (rubber tree). The record is from RNAcentral. Lineage: Eukaryota; Viridiplantae; Streptophyta; Magnoliopsida; Malpighiales; Euphorbiaceae.